RNAcentral lists this unclassified non-coding RNA (208 nucleotides) under soil metagenome. Its description in RNAcentral is "partial contains 5.8S ribosomal RNA, internal transcribed spacer 2, and large subunit ribosomal RNA". The record is from RNAcentral.
AACCAUUCUCACCUGCGGCUAGACCUGCGGAGGGAUCAUUACCGAGUUUACAACUCCCAAACCCCUGUGAACAUACCAAUUGUUGCCUCGGCGGAUCAGCCCGCUCCCGGUAAAACGGGGCGGCCCGCCAGAGGACUCCUAAACUCUGUUUCUAUAUGUAACUUCUGAGUAAAACCAUAAAUAAAUCAAAACUUUUAACAACGGAUCU